GCAAGUCGAGCGUGAAAGCCUUCGGGUGAGUAGAGCGGCGGACGGGUGAGUAACGCGUGGGAAUCUACCUAGUAGUGGGGGACAACAGCCGGAAACGGCUGCUAAUACCGCAUACGUCCUAUGGGAGAAAGUGGGGGAUCUUUUGACCUCACGCUAUUAGAUGAGCCCGCGUAAGAUUAGCUAGUUGGUGGGGUAAAGGCCUACCAAGGCGACGAUCUUUAGCUGGUCUGAGAGGAUGAUC
Molecule: ribosomal RNA, 241 nt
Filed under: uncultured bacterium
Lineage: Bacteria
Description: partial 16S ribosomal RNA
Rfam family: Bacterial small subunit ribosomal RNA
Source: RNAcentral